GUGUGUCAUUGACUCUACAGAUUGUGAUGAUUUGUUAAAAAAUAAUUGCUAGGUUAUUAUCUUCCUAUCCGUCUUUGAUGUACUCAUACACACAUCUAUACAUGGUUGUCGUGCUCAUGUUAUUUGUCAACAUUCAGAAUUAUUUAUCAUAAGAUUUAGAUUAUCUCACUUCCUGUUUGUACAUGUAUGCCCAUAGUGCAGAAUACACCUAUGUGCAUGGAAGUUCUGUUUGUAGUGUCUUCAUCAUACCAAUAAUCAUAAUUCAAUGCCGGUCUUCAUUAGUCGAUUAUUCACAAUGAAAAACAAAGUUCAUGGUAGUGUUGCUAGCUUCUCAUUCAUCCAUCUUUUUAUCUAGCUAGCUAACUAACUUUUGCAUGCAUGGAUUGGAGGUUCAAUAUGAGCAGAUAGUUCAUAAAAAAACAUUAGUGGAGAGAACUUGCUGAUGUUGAACGAACUAGAUGAUGUAGUAACUUGUUGAUGCUGAACCUACCCUAUAUAUGUUGUUCGAUCAGUACUUGUGAUGUGAGCAAAGAAAUAGAACUAGCACUACAUGUCUAUUUCCUAUUUGAUUAGUUUAGUAUUUUCUGCACCAUGCUUUUGCUGUUGCACAAGAUUAUCUCGAAGUAUAAUCUCCAUGUGAAAAGAGUUUGAUGCCCAGAUCCUGUGGGGUAAUAAGCUUCUUUGCAUGAUGAUGCUGGUGCCUUUUGCAUUAGAUCUCAGUUUGUUGGCAUCUUCAUUAUCUACUAUUAGGAUAUGUUGAUGAUCUUCUGCAAACUAUGCUUCUCUUCACUGUUAAAUUAUGUUAUUUGAUUUUUUAACAUACUUCCAUGAAAGAACAUCAAACUGGAGUAGAAAGGACAUCCCGAAAGAUGCUAUCCUGCUUUAAAAAUCAAUUGUUUGCUGAUUAGCUGAACCCUACCCAGAUUCUGUAUCAGACAUGCAGUAUCUUUGGUUGAAGAUACCAACUACUGUGGAAGUAAUUCAUGAUUUACUAGUUUGUAUCAUUUUUUUCAUUUAAUUUUUCUCCUAUAUUUUUGAUUAGCCUAAUGGCCGAUGCUUUCCGUUUGAGGCACAACUUGACUCAAACCUGAAUAAUGGCCUUGUGUUAUCUACUCCCUUUGUAUUAUGCUUAGUUGCUUACUAUGUUCCGGUGAUACUUGAUGAAAUCUACUAACAUACUUUCAUAUGUAUUACUCCCUCUGUGAAUAGAACUAAUGUUCAUCUAGGCACUCUAAUUUUCAUCUCUUUUUGUUUCAUUCGGUUCUCAAGCACCAAAAGACGCCACAAUAAACAAGCCGGACGAAUAAAUUUCUCUCAGGUUCUCAAUGCUAGAUGACCAUGACACCAAAAGAUGGAUACAUUUGUUUGCAUUAUCUUUGUUGCAAAAUGAUGUUGUGGCUGUGAUGAACUGUUUCCUGCAAAAGAUUAUGUUAUGAUAAAUUAUGAAUGUUGGGAUUUGGGAUUCAAAAUCAUGCCGUUAUGUUGUUCCUGUGAUGAGAUAUUGAUAUCAAGUCAUGCAAAAUUAUGUUGUUGUUAGGAAACUGCUGCUAAAUUAUGAGAUAUUGAUUUCAAGUCAUUUUAGUCAGGUGACCUUUACAAUUAUGUAGCAAGGAUAUAAGGGGAGUUUGUUGCAUUGUAAAGAUUCGAUUUUUAUAUGUUUUACACCAUGUUAUGUCAUUAUGACAAACCCUUUCUACCAAAUAGAUAUUUUAAACAAAG
This 1719-nucleotide long non-coding RNA is filed under the name Triticum aestivum (bread wheat). Its description in RNAcentral is "long non-coding RNA (TAES_LNC022773)". The record is from RNAcentral. Lineage: Eukaryota; Viridiplantae; Streptophyta; Magnoliopsida; Poales; Poaceae.